Molecule: long non-coding RNA, 442 nt
Organism: Oreochromis niloticus (Nile tilapia)
Lineage: Eukaryota; Metazoa; Chordata; Actinopteri; Cichliformes; Cichlidae
Exons: 3
Source: RefSeq, a predicted model, not a curated record
CAAGCUUCGCUGUACUUGCGCUUCUGGAUUUUUCUUGCUGCAGUUUCCGAGCCCCAGCAGAUGCCAGUGUUCCUCAAUGGAUCCUCUCCGGAACUGUAGUCUUUUUCCGGCCACCCGGGGGGCUGCAGCCACCUGUUCACUCAUAAAAAGGUUCUCCAAAGCAGCACAUUUCAUUGCUCUGGACAAACUCCCCACAGCCACUGAGACAGCCACCUGAAUGAACCUGGAUGAGACAGUUACCUGCCAGCUUCUUCUGCAGCACUUCCUAACCAAACCAUCACUGCCUGCUCAACCUCUGAUGGCUCCUUGUCUCUUGUGAGCACAGACCAGUGGCAAACAUAGCCAGCCCGUGACUGGAUAAACCUGGAAUGUCAAACCAUGCCUUCCUGUGCUCCCCCAUACCCACUUGCUGUCUUACUGUCUGUUUGUAAAUAAAGACCAG